UCGGGAAUUUUGGGCAAUGGGCGCAAGCCUGAUCCAGCCAUGCCGCGUGGAUGAUGAAGGCCUUAGGGUUGUAAAAUCCUUUCGCCGAGGACGAUAAUGACGGUACUCGGAGAAGAAGCUCCGGCUAACUUCGUGCCAGCAGCCGCGGUAAUACGAAGGGGGCUAGCGUUGUUCGGAUUUACUGGGCGUAAAGCGCGUGUAGGCGGGUCGUUAAGUUGGGGGUGAAAUCCCGAGGCUCAACCUCGGAACUGCCUUCAAAACUGGCGACCUGGACCUAAGUAGAGGCAAGUGGAAUUGCGAGUGUAGAGGUGAAAUUCGUAGAUAUUCGCAGGAACACCAGUGGCGAAGGCGACUUGCUGGACUUAUGGUGACGCUGAGACGCGAAAGCGUGGGGAGCAAACAGGAUUAGAUACCCUAGUAGUCCCUGAGCGGGCUGGCAAGGCGCAU
RNAcentral lists this ribosomal RNA (447 nucleotides) under uncultured bacterium. RNAcentral describes it as "bacterial SSU rRNA". It matches the Rfam family "Bacterial small subunit ribosomal RNA", at positions 355 to 825 of the family's 1533-position model. The record is from RNAcentral.